UACAGAGGUCCCAAGCGUUGUUCGGAUUCACUGGGCGUAAAGGGUGCGUAGGUGGUGGGGUAAGUCGGAUGUGAAAGCUCGGAGCUCAACUCCGAAAUGGCAUUGGAAACUACCCUGCUAGAGGAUUGGAGGGGGGACUGGAAUACUUGGUGUAGCAGUGAAAUGCGUAGAUAUCUGAAGGAACAUCAGUGGCGAAAGCGACUUCCUGGACCAAUACUGACGCUCAUGUGCGAAAGCGUGGGGAGCAAACAGG
This 253-nucleotide ribosomal RNA is filed under the name uncultured bacterium. RNAcentral describes it as "partial 16S ribosomal RNA". It matches the Rfam family "Bacterial small subunit ribosomal RNA", at positions 524 to 776 of the family's 1533-position model. The record is from RNAcentral.